AGAGUUUCGCUCAGGGUAACUCAGGGGAAAGACUGAAUUGACUCCCACUCCAUGCAAAACAGUGCUACAACUUGAUUCUCCCAAGGAUUUACAUCAGAUGAGAAUCUGGCCCAGAAAGGGACUAAGGCGGUUUUGAGCUUGCCAAAGGCAGACAUGAUCUUUACUUCUGAAAAAGCCGAUGGUGUGCCGGAAGAGGGACAGAUGAGCUGCCUAUUCACAGCAUCUGUUUGUGGACCCACCUUUGCUCACCACGCAGUUGGAAACAAAAUGUUUUCAAUUCCUCAACCAUUUUUUAUUAAUUUCCACCCCCCCAAUUCUCCACAAAGUUUUCUCAUUGUUUGAGAUAAUGAGAAACAGAUACUUAAAUAGUCAAUAACUCCAAGUGCGUUUGCAAGGUUGAGCAGGCUGCCAUCUGCAAAAGUUCUGAACUCCCCAGAGAAGAGAAAUGUGAAGGCUAAGAAUUUGGGAUUCCAGAAAGAAAUUCUGAGAAGUCACACAUGGGAAAAGUGAAAAGAAGUUACCUGUUAUGGAGUGAGACUGCUCUGCCUGUUUAUGUCUAUAAACACUGUCACCGGCUUAGUAAAUAAUUAGGGAUGUGGCUGUAAGAACAUCGACAACAGCAGACAUUUCCAGCGUGUCAGCCCUUGGUUUGCUGCUCUACGUGAAUGUCUUUAUUUUCCAUGAGUUUUAAGUGGGGAAUGUGAAGACCUAAGAGGAUGAGCACUUUGAAAACUAAGGAAGAGAGCAAAGUAACACAGGGGGAAAUCCAGGGCUCUCUGAAGAAUCGCUUACUGCUGCUGAGUGACUGAGCCAGGCUUGAAGCCAGACACACAAAAUCCUCAGCUAGCUGCAGCCCACUGUCCAUUUUUAUAAAUAAAGUUUUAUUUGAACACUC
This is a long non-coding RNA of Mus musculus (house mouse), 895 nucleotides long. RefSeq annotates it as RIKEN cDNA 4930487H11 gene. Lineage: Eukaryota; Metazoa; Chordata; Mammalia; Rodentia; Muridae. The transcript is spliced from 3 exons. The record is from RefSeq and is marked predicted.